GCUUGUUUAUGUAUUUACAAGAUAGAACUACAGUAUUGUAUUGACAAGGUGAUGUUGACCAGCAGCGGAUGAGUGUGGAAAUGACUUGGUUGAACAUGGACAUGUUUUUGUUUGGGUUACUGUUUUGAAAAAAUAUGUUGUAUUUAAGGCUAGAUGUCAAAUGUACUUACUACUUACAGAACACAAAAAUGAUUAUCUAUUACCUUUCAUGACUGACAAACUUUGGAACACCAGUCAUCUUUUUUGGCUUGGGGAUGCCUAAUACAGACAGAAGCAUGUCUGUUCUAUGAAAUAUAUUCUCAAAUGUAUUCUCAAAUAUUCUAUUUUCUCUGUUACUCUGUGUGCACUGAACUGACAUGUGUUACGCCCCUGAAAACAGGGGAGAAAUAAUCACGAGAGUGAUACGGUGUUGUAUUCUCAAUUCAACGUUUAGUUCAAUCAUUUCACAAAAGUAACACAUUACAAAACAACAGAACCCAUUAUACAACUAACACAGCAAAAUAUCUUAUUAACAACGUACAUGUUCAUUCACAAUCAACAUAAAAUGGCAGCUACUCUCAGUACGAUGCUAUUCUUCACUUCAACCGAGCAGGGCUAAUAUUACUCUCUUCAAACUUAACUCUAACUUCCUCGAUGUUACUAAGACACACCUUUAAACACUCUUGACAUGUUCGUGAGUUAUAACAUUUAAAUUACUAUUUUUAUCAUCAAUAAAGUACCUGAAAACAGGGGAGAAAUAAUCACGAGAGUGAUACGGUGUUGUAUUCUCAAUUCAACGUUUAGUUCAAUGAGAAAAGACAGCGAUUUUCCCCAGGAAUAUGGGUGGAGACCAGAGCAAUCGAUCUCCGGCUCAUAGAUUAAGAGCAUUUCGUAGAUGACAGAUGAACACGUUUAGGCACCACAAAAUAAAGUAAUCAAUAUUACGUUUACACAUUACUCUCACAAUUCGUACCCUUUGACAGAUUUUAACUUUAACACAAUUAUAUGAAUGUUAUCAAUCUCUAUCAACUAAUACUGAAUGCAUCUUCUUAACCUUAGAUGUUUUAAGAUCCUCACAUACUAUGAACUUACUAAUACUUUUUAAUGUAUAACAGGCUAUGAAUAUUUCCUUUAACCUGUUACACAUGCAUGAGUAUUGAUGACACUCUGAUGUUCAGAUUAAGGGAAUGAAGUAGUCUAUAAUGCGCACCACACAGUGCUCAAAUCCGACAGCGGUUUGUAGCCUAUUACAGCUGCUGGGGAAAUGUAUUCAAAGCCUAUAUUUUAUCACUCUGGAUGUAACUUUUCAGUGCUACUAUUUUUGUAAUGUUAUUAAUAAAACAAAAUCAAAC
This is a long non-coding RNA of Oncorhynchus tshawytscha (Chinook salmon), 1331 nucleotides long. NCBI's taxonomy places the organism in Eukaryota, Metazoa, Chordata, Actinopteri, Salmoniformes, Salmonidae. The record is from Ensembl.